This 563-nucleotide ribosomal RNA is filed under the name uncultured Actinomycetes bacterium. RNAcentral's name for it is "bacterial SSU rRNA". It matches the Rfam family "Bacterial small subunit ribosomal RNA", at positions 258 to 833 of the family's 1533-position model. The record is from RNAcentral. Lineage: Bacteria; Bacillati; Actinomycetota; Actinomycetes.
GUACGGCCUACCANGNCGACGACGGGUAGCUGGUCUGAGAGGACGACCAGCCACACUGGAACUGAGAUACGGUCCAGACUCCUACGGGAGGCAGCAGUGGGGAAUAUUGCACAAUGGGCGAAAGCCUGAUGCAGCGACGCCGCGUGAGGGAUGACGGCCCUCGGGUUGUAAACCUCUUUCGGCAGGGACGAAGCGAAAGUGACGGUACCUGCAGAAGAAGUCCCGGCUAACUACGUGCCAGCAGCCGCGGUAAGACGUAGGGGACGAGCGUUGUCCGGAUUUAUUGGGCGUAAAGCGCGCGUAGGCGGCUAUGCAAGUCGGUUGUGAAAUCCCGGGGCUCAACCCCGGGACUGCGUCCGAUACUGUGUGGCUAGAGGUAGGUAGGGGAGAUCGGAAUUCCUGGUGUAGCGGUGAAAUGCGCAGAUAUCAGGAGGAACACCGGUGGCGAAGGCGGAUCUCUGGGCCUUACCUGACGCUCAGGCGCGAAAGCUAGGGGAGCGAACAGGAUUAGAUACCCUGGUAGUCCUAGCCGUAAACGUUGGGUGCUAGGUGUGGGCGGAUAU